ACCUGAUCAGUGGCGAACGGGUGAGUAACACGUGGGCAACCUGCCCCAGACUUUGGGAUAACUCCUCGAAAGAGGUGCUAAUACCGAAUACGAACCUUGCAGGCAUCUGCGAGGUUGGAAAGUUUUUCGGUCUGGGAUGGGCCCGCGGCCUAUCAGCUAGUUGGUGAGGUAAUGGCUCACCAAGGCGACGACGGGUAGCCGGCCUGAGAGGGCGACCGGCCACACUGGGACUGAGACACGGCCCAGACUCCUACGGGAGGCAGCAGUGGGGAAUAUUGCGCAAUGGGCGAAAGCCUGACGCAGCAACGCCGCGUGCGGGAUGAAGGCCUUCGGGUUGUAAACCGCUUUCAGCAGGGAAGAAGCGAAAGUGACGGUACCUGCAGAAGAAGCACCGGCUAACUACGUGCCAGCAGCCGCGGUAAUACGUAGGGUGCAAGCGUUGUCCGGAUUUAUUGGGCGUAAAGAGCUCGUAGGCGGUUAGUCACGUCGGAUGUGAAAACUCAGAGCUUAACUCUGA
RNAcentral lists this ribosomal RNA (517 nucleotides) under uncultured Actinomycetales bacterium. RNAcentral's name for it is "bacterial SSU rRNA". It matches the Rfam family "Bacterial small subunit ribosomal RNA", at positions 86 to 618 of the family's 1533-position model. The record is from RNAcentral. Lineage: Bacteria; Bacillati; Actinomycetota; Actinomycetes; Actinomycetales.